This is an unclassified non-coding RNA of Callithrix jacchus (white-tufted-ear marmoset), 149 nucleotides long. It matches the Rfam family "Metazoan signal recognition particle RNA". Rfam says of the family: The signal recognition particle (SRP) is a universally conserved ribonucleoprotein. It is involved in the co-translational targeting of proteins to membranes. The record is from Ensembl. NCBI's taxonomy places the organism in Eukaryota, Metazoa, Chordata, Mammalia, Primates, Cebidae.
GCUGGGCAUGGUGGCGCGUGCCUGUAAUCCCAGCUACUCAGGAGGCUGAGGCAGGAGAAUUGCCUGAACCCAGGAGGCCGAGGUUGCGGUGAGCCAAGAUCGCGCCAUUGCACUCCAGCCUGGGUAACAAGAGCGAAACUCUGCCUCAA